UUUUUUAAGAAGGUAAAUCCAUAAAAACUUGCUAUAGUCAUCUAUGAAACUCACAUAAUAUGUGUGUCUACCAACAGAGGAAGGGGCAGGCCCCCACACAUCAGAGAAAACAAGUUGUAGAGGCUUGGUAGAAACACUGGUAGAAAUUGGAUAAGGUAGCUGAUGGCUUUUAGCCUUUUGACAGGAAUCACAAAUUUUCUCAACAUCACGCUCUCCAACAUACGGGAGCUUAUUUUUCUUAAGUAAUAUCUCAACUAAGGAAAAAGAUGCAUGUCCUAAACGAUCGUGCCAUCGUGUUGAAGACACUUUGGUGGCACUAAAAACUUGUUUAUUGAACCUUCUAAUUUCUGGAAUCAAGGGGUAAAGCCCACGAACGCAUCUACCUCGAUAUAGCACCUUCUUCGUUGCCUGAUCCUUGAUCAAAAAGAAGUAAGGGUGAAACUCAAGAAAGACAUGAUUGUCAAUGGCAAUGCGAUGAACGGAAAGAAGGCUUUUUGAAGCACUAGGGACAUGCAAAAUUUUCCUAAGAUGAAUUUUUCGAUGAGGGGUUUUAAUAAUUGAGUGACCAACAUGACUAAUUUUCGUACCUUCUCCACUUGCUGUGUGGAUGUGAUCUUUGCCACGGUACUUGUCGCGCAUGGUCACCUUCUCCAGCUCACCGGUGAUGUGGUUUGUGGCACCGCUGUCGACCUACCAAUUGGUGUCGACGCCGUAGGAGCCAUCAGCAGCUCCGGCCACCUUCUCAUCUUGUGAGGAAUCAUCUUCGUCUUCUUCAAAACGGUACCAACAAUCUUUUGCCGAGUGUCCCGGCUUGCCACAGAUUUGGCACCUGAUUGCAUCAGGGCGUGAUCUGUUGUUGGAGGAGUUGCCGCGCCGGCCUCGAUUGUUGGAGGAGAAAGGCCGGCCGCCGCGUGUGUUGUUGGCGUCGCUGCUGUUUCCGUUGCCGGAGCCCCGGCCCUUGCCACUCCGAGGUGGGCCGCGGUAGCGGGAGCCUCCGCCCCGGCCGCGCGUGGCAGCGUUCGCUGACGACUUGAAGCCGCCCGUCGCGCCUGCUCCCUGGAAUAGAGCCACCCGUUGGUCGAAGUUGCUCAUCUGCCCGAACAGCUCGUCGAGAGUGACCGGGGUGGUGCGGGCGUCGAGGGCGGACACCAAGGGCUGGUACUCCAUGUCAAGCGCGUUGAGAAUAUACGAGAUUAACUCAUCAUCCUUCAACGGCUUGCCAGCCGCGGCGAGCUCGUCGGCGAGUCCCCGCAUGUACGCGAAGAAGGUGGCCACCGAUUGCGUUCCUUUCUGCGCAUUGGUGAGGGCGGCGCGGAUGUUGUUGACACGGGACAGCGACGUGGACGAGAACAUGCUCGCCAGCGCCGUCCAGAGUUCGCGUGCGUGCGCGAUGGAGGUGACCUGCACUAGCACCUCUUUGGAUAGGUUAUUCAAGAGAUAACCAAGUACCUGCUGAUCCUCGCGGAACCAGACGGCAUGGAGUGGGUUGGGGAUGGUUGCCUCCUUUCCAUCCUUGUCCUUGCCGACGACGAACUCGGCCGGCUCCGCCAUGCUUCCGUCGACGUACCCGAAGACUCCAGCUCCUCUCAGCUGCGGCGUGAUCUGAGUGCGCCAAAGAACAUAGUUGGUGCGGGUAAGGCGCUCGGUGAUCUGGCCGGAGAGAGGGGAGGAGGUGGCGGCGGAUGAGGCCAUGGCAGGAAGCUUCGGUGGAAGGAGGAGAGCUAGAUGGGAAGAGUUAGGCUCUGUAUACCAUAUGGAGGAACGUCGUACCCAUCCUGGGCGACGGUUGCGUGUUUAUAUAGCCAGGUCGCGACCUCCUGGUAUAGCGUACAAGUUGGUUCAGAUUACAACUUGGAGAAGAAGAGAUAAGAGAGGUUACAAAGAUAAACGCAUACGAGCUAGAUCCUAGUCUAUCUUCGGUUGGAGUCCUGGGCGAUGGUUAUCUUCAGGACUCUGAAUCUCUGUCACGUACAGCACUAGGCGUUGCCAUAUUACGUUCAACACUCUACUCUUUUGAUUAAGGCCUCCUUUGGUUCAUAGGUAGGAAUAUCAUAGGAAUAGGAAAAUCAUAGGAAGCGAGGUGGCAUGCAUCUCACUUCCUAUAGAUUAAGAGAUGUCAUCUGAUUCAUAGGAUAUGAUUUUUUCCAUUAAGUCUAGACUAAUAUUUUUUCCCUUUGAAAUAUAAAGGAUUGGUUCCUAUCCUAUAUAGGAAUAGGAAUCCAUUCCUACAAACCAAAGGGCUCCAUAGAAAUUUUUCCUACAAAAAUCCUAUCCUCUAAAAUCCUACAAGAUUCCUCCAAACCAAAGGAGCCUAAAAGAAGAGGAAGAAACCCGCGGAAGCUGCCACGCACAACCCAACACAAUCAUGCGGUUGGGGUUGGGGUUGGGGUUGGGGUUGGAUGCCUCUCUCUUCUUUUUAGAGGAUCAUUAUGCGACCUACUCCCUCGUUUCUAAAUAUAAGUCUUUUUGGAGAUUUCAACAAGUGACUACAUACGGAGCAAAAUAAAUGAAUCUUUUUCGAUAAAGGGUGCUUUCUUAUUGACUCAUAGUGUAGCAUCGAGGGAUACAAUCAUAACGAGUACACACACAGCCUCUGCACAAUUAGGAUGCACACAGCCAACACAACACACGCACCCACACGUCACUUCGGCAAAGAGCAAAGUCAUAAAAGACCGAAGCUAUGCCUAGGUGAAGAAAAGAAAACCCGAAGAAUUGAAAGCAACAAUAAACGAUAUACAGCAGUGACCAUCGGCGUCAACCAUCUCGUCACAACACAAGGACUACGAGAAAGGCUCUCCAAAAGCGACGCCUUCAGAAAGGGAACGACGUUGAAGCGCCACUGUCGCCGAAUCCAACCACCACCAAUUCCGAGCAAUGCCCUCAUCAGGGUAACAACGCAAAAGAACGCGCCAUUGCCAGAUAUGACCAACUAGGGUCAAACCUAUGGUUUUCACCACGGAGCUCGAGACUAGGUACUGCAGAAGUACCACCCAAUCGAAGUAGUCUUGUGCCAUCUCCUCCACUUUUCUCAAUCCCAGUAGUUGCAUAUGCGCACGGUCCUUGUGCCGGGGGAUGUCCACACCCGUACGAGCAAGCUGACAAGACGAGACAAGAUCUUCUCUCGCCACCAUCCGACGAAGACUUUGACGGGGAAGUGUAGGUGUCUAGCGUACUCACUGAACCACGGCGAUCACCGGAGACAAGGAAAAAACAAGAGAGAGAGAGGACACGAGGUUUCCCGGCGCACAAACGCCUCCGGCCGCAUGAACAGCCCCUUGUAUAUCCGGCGAGCUCGAACUCUGCCACACACACCAUCCCACGGCGAGCACACAUACACUCCAAGAGGCUACAUCUCUCUCUGGCUCCUCUCUCUCUACACAACACCAGCAGCCACUUAAAUAUGCAAGGCCACGCACAGCCUAGCCGCCUCCAUCGGCCACUAACAACACUUACUAACUACCAUGACGCCACACCUCCAUGCACUAACCAACUCAGCUAGCAUGCAUACUAGAAUCACUCACGCCCAGCUUUCUAGCUAGCCCACUAACUAACCAGCCAUGCAUGUAGAUGGAAUCCCGGCCACUACUCACGCAUGAACGUGACUCGGUCAGGUCGCUGCAUGAGGCUGCGAUCAAGAUUAGUGCUGACAGGAAGAAGGACUGUCGGCACCAUCAAAAUCCCGGGAUGGGGACACUCUGAAGGCCUACACCAUCCUCACAAGUAGCAGAUGUUGGCUGAUCUGUAUCAGACGACAGCUCCACGAGCUGCCACUACCUCAAGCGUUUUCGCACCAGUGGACGCACAUCAUUCAGGUUUGAAGCUCUUGAGGUAAGCAGUCUAGCCCACAACCACACAGCAGCCUGCGGACCAGAUUCACGGCCGAACCUGAGGGAACAACCACCAUGAGCACUACGCACCAACGCCAAAGAUGCACCCAUGGAGCAGCGGCCCUAGCAUGGGUGUGCUCUCAGGUUGGAUGCAUCGGAGGAAGUCACAGCACAAGACGCAGAGGAGCAACAGGUGUGCAUGCUCCAGUGGUCCUGUCGAUGAAGAUGACUGCGUCGCGAGCGCACAUGGUGCUGACCUAGUUAUCCCAAGCCAUGCUUCCGCCAGAUACGUGGAGUGCUGGAGCCGCCGCUGCAGCAUCAACCUUCACAGCGGCCAGCCACCAUCUGCAUCUCGUUGAAUACGUUGCCCAAAGAUCCACGGGAACGGAACCCUGCUGCCGCCCUCAGCCGCCCGAGCAAGCUCGAUGACGCCGACUGGCGGCGGCGAGGGGAGGGCGCACAGGGACGACGCCGGAAAAAGCGGACCGAGCCGCCCGAGUCGCCCAGGCGGACGACGCGGGGGCAGUUUUUUUUUUGUAUGAAAUCUUUCUCUCCCUGCAGGCUCAGUCAAAUGAGUGAAUCUAUAUUCUAAAAUAUGUCUACAUAUAUCCGUAUGUUAUAUUUUAUUUGAAAUGUCUAAAAAGACUUAUAUUUAGGAACGAAGGGAGUAGGAUCAUCAUGCCUAUAAUACUACAUCUAUGUGAUCCUAUGUAACCUUGAUUUUCAUGGCUGUGGGCCCCCCUCACUCCCCUUAUUCCAAUUAAAAUUUGCAAAAUCAGCAGCAUUACGUAAACCUUACGUAGCUUUGCGUGGAUGUAGCAUUGCUCUGCUACAGACGCGGGAGCAGCGUAGAACGCCAAGGGUGAUUGAAAGUAAAAAACAAAAAGAAGAUUCUAGGAGCAAUGCGGUGAGGGGGUGCAGGAUUUGUCUGUCCGACUCCUCCGACCUGUAAAGCAUGGAGAACCAACCCUAAAUCUAGCGAAAGAAAGACACAAAGACGGCGUGCCGCGGCGGGCGGACCUCCGGUGCAGUGCAGGCGCGAUGAUAGUAAAAGAGGGGAGCUAGGCUGCUAGGGUCCCUUCGACGAUGUGCUCCCUCCUCCUUGGCCCGGCGUCUCGGAUGCGGUCGCGGUUACCGACGCCCAUCCGCCGUCUCAUCUCCGGAGUUCUUUUCCUCGGUGUGUGCGUACGGUGCAGGGCAUGGACUGGACUUGUGGGUUUUGGCUCAGGCCCUCGUCUUAUGCAUUUGUUUUGUGGGAGAUGGUAAACAAUUGCUCUCACACUCUCGGUCGUAUCGUAUGGUUAGCACCCCGGCUCCUGCAGCUGCCAAUAAUGUCAAGUAUCCACACCUUCAUGUGCAUCUGCUAUAAUGUUUAAGUAUCCACAUCUUCAUGUGCAUCAGCUGUCAGCGUGUCAGAUAGUUAGACAAUACAUCAGAUCUCAGAUGCCGGCUGCCACAGUUUAAUGAAGGGAUGCAUCGGUGACUUGGGUGGUCGAGGGGUGCAACUCCGGACAUCGCUUUAUGCGGACGACGCGGCAAUAUUUGUUGCACCGAUCAAGGAGGACGUCCAAGGCCAUCUCCACUAUAUGUCUUGGAAAGCUUUGGAGAGGUGACCGGACUGGCUACAAAUUUCCAAAAAAACGCUUUGUGUGGCACCCAUCCGGUGUGAAGGAUUGGACCUUGAAGACAUCAUGCAAAGCAUGCCCGCGGUGCGCUCGACGUUCCCCUUGCGCUACCUUGGGCUUCCCUUGUCGAUUAGGCGCUUAAAAAGGAGCCACUUCUAGCACCUCGAGGACCAGGUCGUCGGCAAGUUGCCAUCUUGGCAGGGAAAACACUGCAAGUUACCACAUCACGACGCUUGUCAUUCCAGCUGAGGUUCUACAAGCCAUUGACAAGAUCCGGAGGGCCUUGAUUUGUGCGGGUUCCGACAAGGUUUCUGGGGGCAAAAUGCAAAAUUAACUUGACUUCUGUGUGCCGCUCCAUGAUCCUCGGUAGCCUUGGUAUCCUUCACCUUGCAAAGUUUGCUCGUGCACUCCGCCUAAGGUGGCCAUGGCUUGAGUGGAUCACGCCGGAAAGACCUUGGGUGGGCACCGGGAACCCUUGCGACAAGGAGGACAUGGGCCUUUUUCACGCCCUCACGAAGGUCACGAUAGGAGAUGGACGCAAGGCGAGCUUCUGUGAGUCGCCUGACUUGAUGGGUUUAGACCUAAGCACAUUGCACCACUAAUUUUUGACAUUUCCAGAAGCAAAAGUUGGAGCGUAAGGAAGGCAAUUCAGAAUGGUGCUUGGGUGGACAAAAUUCGGUUCUCAAAUGGCCUAACAGUGGCGCACAUCCAAGAAUUCAUCUCGCUUUGGACUUUGGUGACCCAGGUGCAACUACAAGACAACCACCUCGACACCAUCACUUGGAAGCUCACCACCUCAGGGCAUUAUUCGGCGGCCACUGCAUACAAGGCACAGUUUUGCGGCAUCAUGGCUUCUAGCUUCAAGAGCAUGAUUUGGAAGAACUGGGCACCGCCAAAAUGCAAGUUCUUUGCCUAGUUGAUCACUCAGAACCGAGUUAGGACGGCCGGCUGCCUUAUUAAACGUGGUUGGCCAAAUUGUGGCAAUUGUUCGUUGUGCAACCAAGUUUCGGAGUUGGUGUCACACCUACUCUUUCAAUGUAGGUUCUCCAUAAUGGUGUGGAUCAUGGUGCGUGACUGGCUUCAGCUUGAAGGGUUACACCCAAAUACUUUUGGGUUCGAAGAUGUCCAAUCUUGGUGGUACGCCAUGGUUCAUGACGGCUUUGGACGUCGUAAGGCCAUGGCUUCUACUACAAUGCUUGUGUCUUGGGAGAUAUGGAACGAGUGCAACACAAGAAUCUUCAACAACAAAUUCGCCAGGUCGGCAGUAAUCAUGGCCAAAAUCCAGUGCGGGGCGAAGAAUUGGGGGUUGGCAGGCGCAACCCAUUUGUGUAAUCUUAUGUCGGGAGAGUAGGCUUUUGUUUUACCGGCUACUUGCCCUAGGGCGGCCAGCCAAACCUGUUCUAAACUCUCUCUUAAUUAAUGAAUGCCGCAAGUCUUUUGCCCUUUUCAAAAAAAAGGUGUUUUUACAUUAUACUCCCUCUGUAAAGAAAUAUAAGAGUAGUGAUCUAAAUUCUCUAACAUUCUUUACGGUGGGAGUAUUUCCUUAUUUUCAUCGUUUCUUACUCUUGUUUCCCAGCACACAACGGUAAUAUUAAUAUUUUUAUUAUUUUAAAAAUAGGUGCAGUAUAUACACUCAACAGAGUGCGAGUUAGUCCUAUGUUGAUAAGGCGCCGAGAGAUGUGUAGUUAUAGGCCCUGGGCACUCUCCAAAUUUUCUUUUCCUCAACAUUGGACCAAAUCAUACGAGACUCCUAGAACUUGGUCUUACAGUUUUUUGAACGAGUCUGGGAGUUAUAGUGCUCUUUUGUGCGAUUUUAUUCAGGUGGUGAAUGAGUUGCAUACCUACAAGGUUUAUGUAGACUAAGGUUACCACAGGGCUUAUGUAGCUACACCAUACACGUAGGCUCUGCCUUUAGCUUUGAUAAUUGAAACGGGAAAAAAAGCCUUAUUCGUGUCAAAAUAGAAGAUAUGUUAGCACGACCAUGCGAAACAUAUUCUUCCUUCCUGCCAUUUUCUUUGUCAACCCCUCACUCUGCCUUCGAAUCUGUCCCGCUUUGCCGUAAAAACUACAUCCUCCCUUUCUAUCAACGACAGCUACAUGAAACUUCAUUCCUCGUCUUCUAUAUGGUUCUUGGUACAUAACUAAUUAAAAGGUGAAAGAUUUAUUGGCAUUGCUAGUUUAACCAUGGCAACAAUACCAGGCGAUACCAAUGCUAGGAAUAUUAGUUUCACUAAAUUCACUAAUAAGAACAUUAGUAUAGCACUUGGCGCCGUCUUAUGGCAAUACAUAUAUAUCACUAGUUCUUGGAAGAGCUACAAUGAUCUAUACAAAACGAUAAUGAAAUCACGGUGGGAGGGGUAAUGGAGGUAAUCUUUGAUCCUUAAUUCCAUGAUGGACUAGGAGAGAGGAUGAGUCAAUAGCUCGUGGUGGACCAAUCCCUCUCAUCUAUCCACCUAGGUGGGUUUCUUUUCUUGGGCUUCCUUAUUGACUUGGGCCUCUUUUCCAUUAACUAUUUCUUAGUCUUAUUCUUUUUCCUCCAUUCACUUGUUUGACCAUAGUUGGUUGCUUCACUUGACCUUGAUGAUUUGCCAAUUAUAGGUUUGGUAGGACUAAGUAGGGCCUUGAGUAAGAUUAACUGCUCCGCAAUCAAACAUCACUAGUCACUCAUAAUUAGCCAAGAAAAACAUGAAAUGUUUCCUCAAGGAAUCGGUCUUAUAUAGACAUAAGAAAUUAAAGAUGACUCAAACAUCUAAUGUGGCCAAUUUUUUCGCCACUAAUGAAGAUCAACUUGAAAGUUAGGCAUUUACAUGACACCCCUCGAUUAAACAAGGCGUGUGCACAAGAGACAAACAUUUGCUCUUCACUGGGUAACUUGACCAAAUCUUCGGAAUCCACCGCCCUUGUGCCCUUGAGUUAUUCUAUUCCAGUGCACUGACGACCUAGAAGCUAAGUUGGCAACGCAGGACGAAGAAAGGAGAUGCCAGCAACAACUGGAGGGUUUCUCCAAAGCCCCUGCUCGGUCACGACAGAUAGCUCUGACCACUCCAACAUGCCCAUUACGAUGUACAGUAGCAUCUACAUCGAGUUUUGAGAAGUUCUCCGGCGGUGCAAUCCACCCUGAAGGACGAAUAUCCGUUGUUCUUCUAGUAUUUCUGGCUGGCCCGUUUGUUUUUAUUUCGCCCAGAUAGGAGUUGACCUUUUAUAUAGCUGCCCUACGCGAGCUCAACUCUUGAGGCUCAAGUGGAUUUUAAUUCCUGUAAGAGCAACUUCAACAGACCGACCCAAAUGGACGUACGACUUGUCGUCGCUUUUUAUCCGUUUGGUUUGGCCGAGCGGACAGAUUUGUCCACUUUUUCAUGGUCGCCCGGUGUGCCCAACCGCAGCCGGAUGCAUUUGUGACAUAUCAGUCGCUUCAUAUCUGCGCCCCGCACCCCGCGUCACGUGCUCGCGCCUGCCCGUGCUCUGCACCGUGCUCCGCACCCCACCCCGCUCCCUGCGCGCCUACCCAUGCCCCGCGCGCCCGCGCCCCACCGCGUGCUGCUGCUCGGCCGAGGUUGCAGCAGCCGCCGCGCGCUGCCCCAAGCCAAGCGCGAGGACCUACAAGUGGGCACAAACGCCAGCGCACAUUGGCCAUGGCCGAGACAAGCGAUACCCACGCGAGCGCGUGCGAGAGGUGCCUGACGGCGGCGACCACCUGUUCCUACUGCUUGAGGUCGGAGCGAGGCUAGGCAUGGCAAGCACGGCGCGACACCGGCCAGGCGUGGGGCGAGGCCAGCGGCUGCAGUAGCGCCAGCCAGGUGGUGCACGUCCGCUGCGGUGCGGCUGUUCAAGUCCAAGUAAUUCUUACCUUGCCUGAUAGCAGAGCAUGUAGACACUUCGCCAUUGGGUCGCUGCUCUAGCGCCGAGUUCAUCCACUUGCGCCAGGCUAACUCAAACUCGCCCAAUAAAUGGUAACGACCUCUACGUGCCAGUUCCCAGGCCACACAAAAUCGUUCAGACAAACCUCUCAAUGUGACAUAUGUACAUUCCCCUCAACUCAUGAUAUACUUUGUCAAAGCCCAAGACGAGAACUUUCCAUCUAUGUUGGGUGGCUUCCUCCUCUCUUUACAAGAUGUGAAUCACCUCUCCAAGUUAGAGGGCCAAGAUCCUGUCUUGAUCCAGUAUGGCAGACGGUGAUGGCACGGCGAAAAGCCACAUGAAGUUAGAAGAAAGUUAUGUGGCACUCUAGUGCGUGCUGCUGAAGGGAGGAAUGUUGCUGCGCAGAUGCUCACGCUACGUUUCUCAUCUUCUUCACCUUAUAGGUGAUGAAGGACAGAUAAAUGAGCAUAGAUACCAAACACUGAACACCAUCAAGAAAAUGCAGCAGGCUAUUACUGCUACAUAACAAGAACCAAACUUAGAUAUCACCAGGCAGCCAGACAAACAGAAGAACCAACAACAGGCGACUCAAAAGUGCAUGACAUAGAACACGUUGCUACAACGUUCAGGCUGGCAAACGGGCAGGCAUAAUUAACAAAAAAUUGACCAGUACACAUCGGGGAUAACUAGUUACUUGAAAAGUAAGGUUCAGCGGGGCUUCAUUUUUCCCAUAAACAGGCGUGCAGCUUAGUCGCCCUUCCGGCGGAAGGAGCAUCCCUCGGUGAGCCUCGCCUUUCCUCCGGUGGGUUGGCAGAGCACCGUCUGGCAGCCAGGGCACACCACCACGGUCUGAGAGUGGCUGAACACAGUCGUUCUGUCACAAGGCAAUAGAUGGUUGGAAA
RNAcentral lists this long non-coding RNA (10212 nucleotides) under Triticum aestivum (bread wheat). RNAcentral's name for it is "long non-coding RNA (TAES_LNC001060)". The record is from RNAcentral. Lineage: Eukaryota; Viridiplantae; Streptophyta; Magnoliopsida; Poales; Poaceae.